RNAcentral lists this ribosomal RNA (459 nucleotides) under uncultured bacterium. Its description in RNAcentral is "partial 16S ribosomal RNA". It matches the Rfam family "Bacterial small subunit ribosomal RNA", at positions 338 to 795 of the family's 1533-position model. The record is from RNAcentral.
CCUACGGGCGGCAGCAGUGAGGAAUAUUGGUCAAUGGGCGUGCGCCUGAACCAGCCAAGUCGCGUGAGGGAAGACGGCCCUAUGGAUUGUAAACCUCUUUUGUCGGGGAGCAAAACCCGCUACGUGUGGCGUUACUAGAGUACCCGAAGAAAAAGCAUUGGCCAACCUCGUGCCAGCAGGCGCGGUAAUACGGAGGAUGCGAGCGUUAUCCGGAUUUAUUGGGUUUAAAGGGUGCGCAGGCGGAAGGUCAAGUCAGCGGUAAAAUUGAGGGGCUCAACCUCUUCGAGCCGUUGAAACUGGUGUUCUUGAGUGGGCGAGAAGUAUGCGGAAUGCGUGGUGUAGCGGUGAAAUGCAUAGAUAUCACGCAGAACUCCGAUUGCGAAGGCAGCAUACCGGCGCUCAACUGACGCUCAUGCACGAAAGUGUGGGUAUCGAACAGGAUUAGAUACCCUUGUAGUC